AUCAAACACUUGUUGCAAGCUAGGCUAGUAAUAUUAUAGGCCACCUCACUACAAAGUACUAUGGUGGCAAAAUUUCUCCUAUUCUUCCUCCUCCAUUGCACCACUACCCUUGCUCAGGGUCCGGCAGCAGCUCCAGCACCGGCUGGCCCAACAAAUGUCACGAAAAUCCUCGAAAAGGCCGGCCAAUUCACUGUCUUUAUCCGACUUCUGAAAGCCACCCAAGAGGAUGUCACGUUAAAUGGCCAGCUCAAUAACACUAACAAUGGCAUUACCAUGUUCGCACCAAGUGAUAGUGCCUUUCAGAGCCUCAAAACAGGCACCCUCAACUCCAUAAACGAUCAAGAAAAGGCUGAGCUUGUGCAGUUUCACAUCAUUCCAACUUAUCUAUCGAGCUCCCAGUUUCAGACUGUGAGCAAUCCUGUGACCACACAGGCAGGAUCAGGCGAUAGAUUUCAGCUUAAUAUAACCACCACAGGGAAUGCUGUCAAUAUCUCCACAGGACUUACAAAUACAAGUGUAUCUGGCGCUGUGUACACCGAUGGGCAACUUGCCGUUUAUCAGGUUGACAAGGUGCUACUUCCUAUAGAUAUUUUUACCCCUAAACCACCAGCCCCGGCACCGUCGCCAGAGACACUUAAAAAGAAGAAGGCAAAGAGUGCAGAGAGUCCAGUUGUUCCUAAGGAUAUUUCUGGAGCAGUAAACUUUAUAGCGAGUAACAAUGUGGUUUUCUUUGGAGUUGGUAUAGUUAGUGCAAUACUUUCUUGGUGACACAGAAGACAUUUGAUGAGGCAUGUUGGGGCGAGGUCAGUUUCCCAGUGGUGUAUGAUUUUGCUGAGUUGGGUUGAAUAUGAUGAUGAUCAAGAUAUGGUGAGUGCUUUUAAAUAAUUGUUGUUUUUGCUCAGUCCCAAUUGUAUCAUUUAAGUUUGUGAUUAAGAUUGAGUUUUUUAUGUUUUCUUUUGUUCGGAUUUUUGUUAUUCCCCUUUUUCUUUUUCAGAUUUGUUCUACUUUGAGAAUUUUGUAACAUAUAUAGUUUUAAAAAGAAUAUGCAUCAAAU
RNAcentral lists this unclassified non-coding RNA (1054 nucleotides) under Hevea brasiliensis (rubber tree). Lineage: Eukaryota; Viridiplantae; Streptophyta; Magnoliopsida; Malpighiales; Euphorbiaceae. The record is from RNAcentral.